GAUGAACGCUGGCGGCGUGCCUAAUACAUGCAAGUCGAGCGAACAGACGAGGAGCUUGCUCCUCUGACGUUAGCGGCGGACGUGUGAGUAACACGUGGAUAACCUACCUAUAAGACUGGGAUAACUUCGGGAAACCGGAGCUAAUACCGGAUAAUAUAUUGAACCGCAUGGUUCAAUAGUGAAAUACGGUUUUGCUGUCACUUAUAGAUGGAUCCGCGCCGCAUUAGCUAGUUGGUAAGGUAACGGCUUACCAAGGCAACGAUGCGUAGCCGACCUGAGAGGGUGAUCGGCCACACUGGAACUGAGACACGGUCCAGACUCCUACGGGAGGCAGCAGUAGGGAAUCUUCCGCAAUGGGCGAAAGCCUGACGGAGCAACGCCGCGUGAGUGAUGAAGGUCUUCGGAUCGUAAAACUCUGUUAUUAGGGAAGAACAAAUGUGUAAGUAACUAUGCACGUCUUGACGGUAACUAAUCAGAAAGCCACGGCUAACUACGUG
This 497-nucleotide ribosomal RNA is filed under the name uncultured bacterium. RNAcentral's name for it is "partial 16S ribosomal RNA". It matches the Rfam family "Bacterial small subunit ribosomal RNA", at positions 28 to 507 of the family's 1533-position model. The record is from RNAcentral.